CCUACGGGGGGCUGCAGUGGGGAAUAUUGCACAAUGGGCGCAAGCCUGAUGCAGCCAUGCCGCGUGUGUGAAGAAGGCCUUCGGGUUGUAAAGCACUUUCAGCGGGGAGGAAGGCGUUAAGGUUAAUAACCUUGUCGAUUGACGUUACCCGCAGAAGAAGCACCGGCUAACUCCGUGCCAGCAGCCGCGGUAAUACGGAGGGUGCAAGCGUUAAUCGGAAUUACUGGGCGUAAAGCGCACGCAGGCGGUCUGUCAAGUCGGAUGUGAAAUCCCCGGGCUCAACCUGGGAACUGCAUUCGAAACUGGCAGGCUAGAGUCUUGUAGAGGGGGGUAGAAUUCCAGGUGUAGCGGUGAAAUGCGUAGAGAUCUGGAGGAAUACCGGUGGCGAAGGCGGCCCCCUGGACAAAGACUGACGCUCAGGUGCGGAAGCGUGGGGAGCAAACAGGAUUAGAUACCCCUGUAGUC
RNAcentral lists this ribosomal RNA (465 nucleotides) under uncultured Klebsiella sp. Its description in RNAcentral is "bacterial SSU rRNA". It matches the Rfam family "Bacterial small subunit ribosomal RNA", at positions 338 to 795 of the family's 1533-position model. The record is from RNAcentral. Lineage: Bacteria; Pseudomonadati; Pseudomonadota; Gammaproteobacteria; Enterobacterales; Enterobacteriaceae.